Molecule: long non-coding RNA, 508 nt
Filed under: Bos taurus (domestic cattle)
Lineage: Eukaryota; Metazoa; Chordata; Mammalia; Artiodactyla; Bovidae
Description: long non-coding RNA NONBTAT014952
Source: RNAcentral
UUAAUGAAAGCAAUGGUCCUGCCAUUCUUUAUUUCUCACAAUAAUACAUAUUUACAGAAGAAAAAGAAUUGUACGUUUUAAAUUCUGAUCAUUAUACAGAUUUUUUGCAGUUGAAUAAAAGGAUGACUCUCUUAGUGACCUUUAAAAGUAACUUCAAUGCUAAUCGAAGGUACUAAUUAUAUGUUAAACACGUUUAAUAACCGUUGUUAAGCUCACUUGAAAACACAAGACUUUUAGCACCCAGUAAAAGUAAUAAAGCAUUAUCAUUUGAGCUAAGACCUUUUAAGAGAUCUGACUUAGAAGUAUCUUCAUCAUAGAUGCACAGUCCAAUUUCUCAACAUACGUUUUAGAAACUUGGGAGAAAAAAAACGUUAAAGGAAAAUCUCCAUAGCUUUUUUAAGAAUCAUAUGUGAAUCAGUUUUUCCCUCAAAAGGCCUUGAAACAUUGGCAUCUUGAGGUGCUAUUAAAAAAAAAAAAGAACAAGAUUUUGUUAUUAAUCAAAAGCUUC